RNAcentral lists this non-coding RNA (21 nucleotides) under Caenorhabditis elegans. The record is from RNAcentral. Lineage: Eukaryota; Metazoa; Nematoda; Chromadorea; Rhabditida; Rhabditidae.
UAAGAUGUAUUUUAGUAUUUU